CCUACGGGAGGCAGCAGUGAGGAAUAUUGGUCAAUGGACGAGAGUCUGAACCAGCCAAGUAGCGUGAAGGAUGACGGCCCUAUGGGUUGUAAACUUCUUUUAGAUGGGAAUAAAAUGUUCCACGUGUGGGAUGUAGUAUAUACAAUAUGAGAAAGGAGCGGCUAAAUCCGUGCCAGCAGCCGCGGUAAUACGGAGGAUGCGAGCGUUAUACGGAUUUAUUGGGGUUAAAGGGAGCGUAGGGGGAUUGUUAAGUCAGCUGUGAAAGUGUGCGGCUCAACCGUAAAAUUGCAGUUGAAACUGGCAGUCUUGAGUACAGUAGAGGUGGGCGGAAUUCGUGGUGUAGCGGUGAAAUGCUUAGAUAUCACGAAGAACUCCGAUUGCGAAGGCAGCUCACUGGACUGCAACUGACACUGAGGCUCGAAAGUGUGGGUAUCAAACAGGAUUAGAUACCCGAGUAGUC
RNAcentral lists this ribosomal RNA (460 nucleotides) under uncultured bacterium. RNAcentral's name for it is "partial 16S ribosomal RNA". It matches the Rfam family "Bacterial small subunit ribosomal RNA", at positions 338 to 795 of the family's 1533-position model. The record is from RNAcentral.